RNAcentral lists this ribosomal RNA (490 nucleotides) under uncultured bacterium. RNAcentral's name for it is "partial 16S ribosomal RNA". It matches the Rfam family "Bacterial small subunit ribosomal RNA", at positions 30 to 507 of the family's 1533-position model. The record is from RNAcentral.
AUUGAACGCUGGCGGCAUGCCUUACACAUGCAAGUCGAACGGCAGCAUGAUCUAGCUUGCUAGGUUGAUGGCGAGUGGCGAACGGGUGAGUAAUACAUCGGAACGUGCCCUGUAGUGGGGGAUAACUAGUCGAAAGAUUAGCUAAUACCGCAUACGACCUGAGGGUGAAAGUGGGGGACCGCAAGGCCUCAUGCUAUAGGAGCGGCCGAUGUCUGAUUAGCUAGUUGGUGAGGUAAAGGCUCACCAAGGCGACGAUCAGUAGCUGGUCUGAGAGGACGAUCAGCCACACUGGGACUGAGACACGGCCCAGACUCCUACGGGAGGCAGCAGUGGGGAAUUUUGGACAAUGGGCGAAAGCCUGAUCCAGCAAUGCCGCGUGUGUGAAGAAGGCCUUCGGGUUGUAAAGCACUUUUGUCCGGAAAGAAAUGGCUCUGGUUAAUACCUGGGGUCGAUGACGGUACCGGAAGAAUAAGAACCGGCUAACUACGUG